GGGUUAUGAUGUCCAAACUCACGAUGGUCUGCAGAGUCCCCGAGCUGCGGGGCUGCUGACAAUGCCACCGGCACACACUGAACCCCGGGG
Hirundo rustica (Barn swallow) is the source of this 90-nucleotide small nucleolar RNA. RefSeq annotates it as small nucleolar RNA SNORD35. The record is from RefSeq and is a predicted model, not a curated record. NCBI's taxonomy places the organism in Eukaryota, Metazoa, Chordata, Aves, Passeriformes, Hirundinidae. The transcript has a single exon.